UGGACUCGAAGGGAGUUUUGUGAUAGAUUUAACCGAAGCGAUCGGAAUGGAAGUAGACAAUGAGAGGGUUGCUGCAGAGGACGGUGGAGACGAGGUUCAGAAUGUGAAGGACUUAGAAUUACUUCAACGAUUACAGUUAGCUAAUGACAGUGAUGACGACAUUCCUUCUUCGGAGCACGAGCUUGACUAUAUCGACACGCGUGAUAGUGAUGAUGAGACUUAUGAUCCAGCUAAUCCCGAUCAUGAUGAUUAUUUCUAAUACAUGUAUGAUUCG
This 274-nucleotide long non-coding RNA is filed under the name Setaria viridis. RNAcentral's name for it is "long non-coding RNA (SVIR_LNC001304)". The record is from RNAcentral. Lineage: Eukaryota; Viridiplantae; Streptophyta; Magnoliopsida; Poales; Poaceae.